RNAcentral lists this ribosomal RNA (2923 nucleotides) under Klebsiella pneumoniae. RNAcentral describes it as "bacterial LSU rRNA". It matches the Rfam family "Bacterial large subunit ribosomal RNA". The record is from RNAcentral. Lineage: Bacteria; Pseudomonadati; Pseudomonadota; Gammaproteobacteria; Enterobacterales; Enterobacteriaceae.
GGGUUGUGAGGUUAAGCGACUAAGCGUACACGGUGGAUGCCCUGGCAGUCAGAGGCGAUGAAGGACGUGCUAAUCUGCGAAAAGCGUCGGUAAGGUGAUAUGAACCGUUACAGCCGGCGAUGUCCGAAUGGGGAAACCCAGUGCAAUUCGUUGCACUAUCGUUAACUGAAUACAUAGGUUAACGAGGCGAACCGGGGGAACUGAAACAUCUAAGUACCCCGAGGAAAAGAAAUCAACCGAGAUUCCCCCAGUAGCGGCGAGCGAACGGGGAGCAGCCCAGAGUCUGAAUCAGCUUGUGUGUUAGUGGAACGGUCUGGAAAGUCCGACGGUACAGGGUGAUAGUCCCGUACACCAAAAUGCACAGGCUGUGAACUCGAAGAGUAGGGCGGGACACGUGGUAUCCUGUCUGAAUAUGGGGGGACCAUCCUCCAAGGCUAAAUACUCCUGACUGACCGAUAGUGAACCAGUACCGUGAGGGAAAGGCGAAAAGAACCCCGGCGAGGGGAGUGAAAAAGAACCUGAAACCGUGUACGUACAAGCAGUGGGAGCACCUUCGGGUGUGACUGCGUACCUUUUGUAUAAUGGGUCAGCGACUUAUAUUCUGUAGCAAGGUUAACCGUAUAGGGGAGCCGCAGGGAAACCGAGUCUUAACUGGGCGUUAAGUUGCAGGGUAUAGACCCGAAACCCGGUGAUCUAGCCAUGGGCAGGUUGAAGGUUGGGUAACACUAACUGGAGGACCGAACCGACUAAUGUUGAAAAAUUAGCGGAUGACUUGUGGCUGGGGGUGAAAGGCCAAUCAAACCGGGAGAUAGCUGGUUCUCCCCGAAAGCUAUUUAGGUAGCGCCUCGUGAACUCAUCUUCGGGGGUAGAGCACUGUUUCGGCUAGGGGGUCAUCCCGACUUACCAACCCGAUGCAAACUACGAAUACCGAAGAAUGUUAUCACGGGAGACACACGGCGGGUGCUAACGUCCGUCGUGAAGAGGGAAACAACCCAGACCGCCAGCUAAGGUCCCAAAGUCAUGGUUAAGUGGGAAACGAUGUGGGAAGGCACAGACAGCCAGGAUGUUGGCUUAGAAGCAGCCAUCAUUUAAAGAAAGCGUAAUAGCUCACUGGUCGAGUCGGCCUGCGCGGAAGAUGUAACGGGGCUAAACCAUGCACCGAAGCUGCGGCAGCGACACUAUGUGUUGUUGGGUAGGGGAGCGUUCUGUAAGCCUGCGAAGGUGUGCUGUGAGGCAUGCUGGAGGUAUCAGAAGUGCGAAUGCUGACAUAAGUAACGAUAAAGCGGGUGAAAAGCCCGCUCGCCGGAAGACCAAGGGUUCCUGUCCAACGUUAAUCGGGGCAGGGUGAGUCGACCCCUAAGGCGAGGCCGAAAGGCGUAGUCGAUGGGAAACAGGUUAAUAUUCCUGUACUUGGUGUUACUGCGAAGGGGGGACGGAGAAGGCUAUGUUAGCCGGGCGACGGUUGUCCCGGUUUAAGCAUGUAGGCUGAUUGUCCAGGCAAAUCCGGAUAAUCAAGGCUGAGGUGUGAUGACGAGGCACUACGGUGCUGAAGUAACAAAUGCCCUGCUUCCAGGAAAAGCCUCUAAGCAUCAGGUAACAUUAAAUCGUACCCCAAACCGACACAGGUGGUCAGGUAGAGAAUACCAAGGCGCUUGAGAGAACUCGGGUGAAGGAACUAGGCAAAAUGGUGCCGUAACUUCGGGAGAAGGCACGCUGGUGUGUAGGUGAAGUCCCUGCGGAUGGAGCUGAGACCAGUCGAAGAUACCAGCUGGCUGCAACUGUUUAUUAAAAACACAGCACUGUGCAAACACGAAAGUGGACGUAUACGGUGUGACGCCUGCCCGGUGCCGGAAGGUUAAUUGAUGGGGUUAUCCGUAAGGAGAAGCUCUUGAUCGAAGCCCCGGUAAACGGCGGCCGUAACUAUAACGGUCCUAAGGUAGCGAAAUUCCUUGUCGGGUAAGUUCCGACCUGCACGAAUGGCGUAAUGAUGGCCAGGCUGUCUCCACCCGAGACUCAGUGAAAUUGAACUCGCUGUGAAGAUGCAGUGUACCCGCGGCAAGACGGAAAGACCCCGUGAACCUUUACUAUAGCUUGACACUGAACAUUGAGCCUUGAUGUGUAGGAUAGGUGGGAGGCUUUGAAGCGUGGACGCCAGUCUGCGUGGAGCCAACCUUGAAAUACCACCCUUUAAUGUUUGAUGUUCUAACGUUGGCCCCUGACCGGGGUUGCGGACAGUGUCUGGUGGGUAGUUUGACUGGGGCGGUCUCCUCCCAAAGCGUAACGGAGGAGCACGAAGGUUAGCUAAUCCUGGUCGGACAUCAGGAGGUUAGUGCAAUGGCAUAAGCUAGCUUGACUGCGAGCGUGACGGCGCGAGCAGGUGCGAAAGCAGGUCAUAGUGAUCCGGUGGUUCUGAAUGGAAGGGCCAUCGCUCAACGGAUAAAAGGUACUCCGGGGAUAACAGGCUGAUACCGCCCAAGAGUUCAUAUCGACGGCGGUGUUUGGCACCUCGAUGUCGGCUCAUCACAUCCUGGGGCUGAAGUAGGUCCCAAGGGUAUGGCUGUUCGCCAUUUAAAGUGGUACGCGAGCUGGGUUUAGAACGUCGUGAGACAGUUCGGUCCCUAUCUGCCGUGGGCGCUGGAGAAUUGAGGGGGGCUGCUCCUAGUACGAGAGGACCGGAGUGGACGCAUCACUGGUGUUCGGGUUGUCAUGCCAAUGGCACUGCCCGGUAGCUAAAUGCGGAAGAGAUAAGUGCUGAAAGCAUCUAAGCACGAAACUUGCCCCGAGAUGAGUUCUCCCUGAGACUUUAAGUCUCCUGAAGGAACGUUGAAGACGACGACGUUGAUAGGCCGGGUGUGUAAGCGCAGCGAUGCGUUGAGCUAACCGGUACUAAUGAACCGUGAGGCUUAACCUUACAACGCCGAAG